CGGCCCUGAAAGGCAGGCA
Molecule: small nuclear RNA, 19 nt
Filed under: Arabidopsis thaliana (thale cress)
Lineage: Eukaryota; Viridiplantae; Streptophyta; Magnoliopsida; Brassicales; Brassicaceae
Description: snRNA_15063
Source: RNAcentral